Molecule: long non-coding RNA, 1099 nt
Filed under: Sinocyclocheilus grahami
Lineage: Eukaryota; Metazoa; Chordata; Actinopteri; Cypriniformes; Cyprinidae
Description: lncRNA (ENSSGRG00000054102.1)
Source: RNAcentral
CCCUACCUUUCCUAAGUUUCUUUGUUCUGUCUCCGUCGUUGAAAGUGGUUGUUUUCUACAGUUCGCCCCAGUGGAUUGAUUAAAAGACUCCGUUUGUUGUAUAUCUGCCUCCUGCGUACUCCUUUGAACUCCUUCGCCUGGCAACCCCUGACAGAAGACAGGACCAACAAAAAGAUGGACUGGCUGAGGACGUUCUUCUGAACAUCCAGCAGGAUGGAAGGCCUUUGGCGCGAUAAUCAUCCUGAUCCCAUCCAGAAGCAUGUGAGCACUCCAGAUCACCACAAGCCAGCUCCCUCCACAUACCGCUCCAAUGAGCCCGCUCCCCUCGUUUCACCUGUGCCUUCUGGAUCCCGUCCAAGAUCCAUUCCAGCCCUCAGCCCAGAAAAUGAGUCACCAGUGCUCCUGGAUUUGCUGCUACCUCCGGGGUUCUCGGCUCCUAUUCUCUCGCCUGAAUCUGCUCUCCUGAGUCCAUCUCCGCUGGCCCUUUGUCUCUAGAGCGCCCCCCAGAGCUGGCUCCUCAAAAGCACCCCUCCAGAGCGCCCUCCAGUGUCUGCACAUAUUAAGCGCCCUCCAGAGCCCAUUCCUUGAGCGCCCCCCCCCAGGAAGAGUCCCCUGAUCCGGCAUGGCCUCCUGAGUCCCCUGAUCCGGCAUGGCCUCCUGAGUCCCCUGAUCCGGCAUGGCAACCUGAACUGCCUGCGCCGCCCUGGAGGCUUCCUUGGUCUUCGCCCUGUUCCAGUCCUGCACCAUCCCCCAUGGUGCCUGCCCCCCCUCCUUAAUUUCACCUACUUCAACUUGGUUUUCCUAUUCUCAUUUAGUUCAUUCAUUUAGUUUCCACCCGUGUUAAUCAUCUUAGUCUAUCGUUUGGUUCAGUAUAACUAGCCCUGCCUUUCCUAAGUUUCUUUGUCAGUUGAAAAUGGUUUUCUACAUUUCUCCCCAGUGGAUUUAUUAAAAGACUCUGUAUAUCUGCCUCCUGUGUAUGCCUUUGCCUGGAAACCCCUGACAAAAUCAUAUUUUCCCCUAAGGUUCUUUGAAUAAAAUAAUUUGCGUUAUACAUGUCUUUACUAAAACAAAAAAUGCGCAUACAAGUAUCUAAAGCUAU